CUCCUUGCCCCCUGCCUCCUUGCCCAGGUCGGUUCCAGCUAACUCCUCAGACUCCUCUUCUUGAGGUGAACCAGAGGCUCCGUUCCCGGAGUCGUCCGCCCCUUCAGACCCGGCCGCUGGUUUCAGGUCCGCCCCUUCAGACCCGGCCGCUGGUUUCAGGUCCGCCCCUUCAGACCCGGCCGAUGGUUUCAGGUCCGCCCCUUCAGACCCGGCCGAUGGUUUCGGGUCCGCCCCUUCAGACCAGGUCGCUGGUUUCAUGUCUGCUUCUUUUGGUGUUUCAGUCGUUGACGUAAACAGGUAGAAAACUCUGGGUGGCUGCAGAACGGAGAGCCUGGACAAAGUGGGGUCAAAUUUUUUUUAAAUAGACGUGCACGUACCAAUCAACACACAUUUGCAUUUCUUCGACUAUAAAACAUUACCCAUAAGCAUUGCUAUUCCUUCGGAUUACACCAUUAAAGGUGGGGUAUGGGUUUUGCGAAACGCCAGCAGAUUUGGAAAAUCCACAACUCAAAUGGUCCUACCUCCUCUCCUUCAACGCUGAUUCUGACUCCACCCAUUCCAAGUACAUGGACACGCAAUCAUGCACGAGCGAACACAGAUGCUCGAGAGCGAGCCCUUAGCUAGUUAGCUAGCUCCAGUAGCUACCGCAGGAUCACAACAGAAGCUUGUUCUGGGUCACGAGCUUUGAGUACGUGCACGAAGGGGUCGCGCGUGGAGUUUUUCGAGCCCUGCCCGUUCCACAGAUGAUGGACUUGUUUAAUUUUCAUGUCAGUACUUCUAACUCAGUGGCUGUAAGUGGGUUAUGAUAAGGAUCUCAAGUAAUUUUUCAAAAAUGGAAAAAAGAGAAUUCCGAACCAAACCUUUAAGCUUAUGUUGACAAAUUAAAAACUGCAAUUUAACGUGCAAAAUUCAUGUGUUUUUUUUUUCUUUUCAGAAAUACCAUCUUUCCCGCACUAUAAGGCGCACCGGAGUAUAAGCCGCAGCAGCUAAAUUGAAUGAUGUGUACAUAUAUAAGCCGCACUGGACUAUAAGCCGCAGGUGUUUUAAUGUUUAAUUACCAUCUGUAAGGGUUCGUGCACAGAGGGGAUUGUCGGGAAAGAGAUGGCUGCUUGAGGAAACUCCCAUUUAUUAACAUUUCAACAAACAAGUUGCAUAUUUGCAUAACGUAUUCAAGCGUUACCAUUUAGUGCAAUAGUAGCUACAGAACACUAUGCAGUGUAAACGGUACUGCAUCACAUAGCGUUUCAGACACACAAACUUUUCAACUUUCAAACUUAAACGGUGCACAGGUUUUCAACCAGUGGUCCUUGAGGGAGUGCUACGGGUUCCCCAGCAAAAUUAGUUAAUAGCGUCACAAUCAUUUUACCACUUAACUUUGGCUAUUUUUGAAAAACCUUGAAAAAGUGUGCACAUCUUUGAAUAUGUAUCGACAUUAUAGCCUACAGUAGUACCAUAACAAAAAAACAAAGCUUACAGCGCUUGACGAGGAAAUAUCAAUGGCUAAAUUAAAUGUGUUUUUUUAAAAGUUCAAAAUAAACCGCCUGUAACACGACAGUAAAUGCGUAAGCCUAAAGUUGCAGCAA
Gadus macrocephalus (Pacific cod) is the source of this 1583-nucleotide long non-coding RNA. RefSeq lists it as uncharacterized. The transcript is spliced from 2 exons. Lineage: Eukaryota; Metazoa; Chordata; Actinopteri; Gadiformes; Gadidae. The record is from RefSeq and is a predicted model, not a curated record.